GACGAACGCUGGCGGCGUGCCUAAUACAUGCAAGUUGAGCGAUGAAGAUUGGUGCUUGCACCAAUUUGAAGAGCAGCGAACGGGUGAGUAACGCGUGGGGAAUCUGCCUUUGAGCGGGGGACAACAUUUGGAAACGAAUGCUAAUACCGCAUAACAACUUUAAACAUAAGUUUUAAGUUUGAAAGAUGCAAUUGCAUCACUCAAAGAUGAUCCCGCGUUGUAUUAGCUAGUUGGUGAGGUAAAGGCUCACCAAGGCGAUGAUACAUAGCCGACCUGAGAGGGUGAUCGGCCACAUUGGGACUGAGACACGGCCCAAACUCCUACGGGAGGCAGCAGUAGGGAAUCUUCGGCAAUGGACGAAAGUCUGACCGAGCAACGCCGCGUGAGUGAAGAAGGUGUUCGGAUCGUAAAACUCUGUUGGUAGAGAAGAACGUUGGUGAGAGUGGAAAGCUCAUCAAGUGACGGUAACUACCCAGAAAGGGACGGCGAACUACGU
RNAcentral lists this ribosomal RNA (496 nucleotides) under uncultured bacterium. RNAcentral describes it as "partial 16S ribosomal RNA". It matches the Rfam family "Bacterial small subunit ribosomal RNA", at positions 28 to 506 of the family's 1533-position model. The record is from RNAcentral.